This 199-nucleotide long non-coding RNA is filed under the name Gossypium raimondii (Peruvian cotton). Its description in RNAcentral is "long non-coding RNA (GRAI_LNC001081)". The record is from RNAcentral. Lineage: Eukaryota; Viridiplantae; Streptophyta; Magnoliopsida; Malvales; Malvaceae.
UGGGUUAAUGGGAAUUGGAAUGUCGAGAGCUCUAAGAACUGUCAAAAGCCAUGAUUAUAGUUGAGUUUUUGGUUGAGCUUGUUUUGAGGAAAGACAAGUUCAAGUAUUCUAUGUCCAAUGGGAAGAGAAAUGGUGGGGGAGAUCAUAAGGAAGAUGAAGAGAAACAUAGUGAUAAUGUAAAUGGAAACAAUGGUAAUGG